AUUAUUUUUUCAAUUAUUUUUAAGACAGGAGGAGACAAAUUCUGACAAGAAUUGAGCUAAUAGAAAGAGAGGGGUUAAAAAUGCAAGAGGAUAUUGGAUGGAGUUGGGAUCCUGAGAAGGCAGGAUCCAGUGGUUAAGUAAAAGGAUUGCAGGAUUGCGUUUAAGCCUGUGGAUGGACACCUCUUUGCAUUAUUAUAGGAAGAAGAAAAAGAGUGAAUGGACGAUGACGAAGUAGAGAAGUGUCUGAGGCUGCUACUUCUAGGAAUAGCAGAAUUCAAAGUUAUCUGUUAUGAGAAUCAAAUGAGUUAAAACAUACAAAGUUUUAGCAUGUAAAGUUAAUACAUAAAGUUUUAUUUAGUUUAUAAUUUAGUGAUUCGUAAAAUUAUUGAGCAAAUUUAACUUAUCACUGUUAUAUGAUGAUCGUGACAUACUUAACUCAUGUAGAAGACCAGGAAUAACCUGUUUUAAUUAUGUUUCAUUCAUUUCAAACACAAGGUUAUGGAUUGGAAACACUCCUGUUCUUCUUUGUUGUUGUUGUUGUUGUUGUUGUUUUUAGAGACGGAGUCUCG
This 569-nucleotide long non-coding RNA is filed under the name Homo sapiens (human). Its description in RNAcentral is "HSALNT0042854". Lineage: Eukaryota; Metazoa; Chordata; Mammalia; Primates; Hominidae. The record is from RNAcentral.